ACACGGUUAUCGACUUUGAUUUCUCUGCUCGCAUCGGUGAGUUGUCAUUUUGUUAAUUUGUGUAAUUACACGGCCUGCCACCCAAAACAAAAGUAAAUAAGUAAGGGCAAUCAAAAAAAUCGCAGAUAGGAAGUGGGCUGGAACGCCUGACAACUUGAUUUAAGGUCCGGAGCAAAUCGGCAAUGCAAACUAAUCACAAGCUUGAGGGAUUUUGUGUUUGUAAGGCGUUGCAGUUUUAUUGGAUCCUAAGAAGCAAAACAAUAACCUCAUGGCCCAUUAAAAUGGUUAAUAGCAAACAAAUACAUUGGGGAAAAGGCAGCAGCAGAAGUAGCAACAACAAAACAACAAAUCACGGUAUCUCUUUUAGGCCAUUUAGUUAUGUUUUCACAUUUUAUUUAUAAAUGCUUUAGUGACUGCCAACUUGGCUGUGGCUAACAAUGUGGCCGUCUAGAUUUUUAUACAAACUAUCUUGAGAACAAAAACUAAAUGCUUCAUUUCGAUAAAUAAACCGAUUCAGAUAAAAAGUUAGAACAAAGUA
RNAcentral lists this long non-coding RNA (538 nucleotides) under Rhagoletis pomonella (apple maggot). Its description in RNAcentral is "uncharacterized LOC118745605". The record is from RNAcentral. Lineage: Eukaryota; Metazoa; Arthropoda; Insecta; Diptera; Tephritidae.